Long non-coding RNA from Mus caroli (Ryukyu mouse), 716 nucleotides. RefSeq lists it as uncharacterized. Lineage: Eukaryota; Metazoa; Chordata; Mammalia; Rodentia; Muridae. The record is from RefSeq and is a predicted model, not a curated record.
GAUACCACGGUGCCACAAGAAUGAGCCCAGCGGAGGCAGGAGUGGGAGAUCUGAUCUCCGAGGACGUGAAUCAUCCCACUGCCUACUCCAAGGAACACAAGAGGAAGGGACUCGUUUCAGCAGGGAACGCAGGGGCUCUUUAGGGAACAGACUGGAUGUUACCAUGUCAGAGUGCCAAAAGCCCUAAUGGAACCAGGAAUCCUGGAAAAGAGGCAAGUGGCAUGUAUCUGGCUGGCAGAGCUGAAGAGGACUCUGAGAUGGCCCUUAGGACAGAGAUGUAGGGUAUUGAGGGCCAUGAGAAGCACAGUUGCGGGAUGUAGAGCUGGGCUCUGGCCAGGGAAACUUGGCAUUCUGUCUGACUUACUGCCUGGAAAAGUCUCCAUGGGUUCACCAAGAUGGGAUGAAAACAGGAAGACCCAAGCGAGCUGUGAUUCAAGGAGACCCAUGUGCUAGCCUGAGUGUGGGGCCAGAGAACUCCAACUGUGAAGGCACAGCCUCACCACCCACCCCAUCUUGCCUGCAGCUCUGCUCUUUUCUCCACUCCCUGCCUCCUUUUGCCUUCUCUCUUUUUCCUUCCCCACCUCAUUGUUCCCCUCUCCUGUUAACAUCUCUUUCUCUCCCUCUUCUAUAUGUUUCAUCUUCCUAUUUAAUUGGUUGCUUGCUUCUCAUCUUUCUCUAGGUGUUUUCUGCCACCCUCUUUUGCCCCCUCACCUUCA